This 207-nucleotide ribosomal RNA is filed under the name uncultured Eubacteriales bacterium. Its description in RNAcentral is "uncultured Clostridiales bacterium partial 16S ribosomal RNA". It matches the Rfam family "Bacterial small subunit ribosomal RNA", at positions 568 to 774 of the family's 1533-position model. Lineage: Bacteria; Bacillati; Bacillota; Clostridia; Eubacteriales. The record is from RNAcentral.
UGCGUAGGCGGCGCUGCAAGUCAGAUGUGAAAUCCCCGGGCUUAACUCGGGGGGUGCAUUUGAAACUGCAGUGCUUGAGUGCAGGAGAGGAAAGCGGAAUUUCUAGUGUAGCGGUGAAAUGCGUAGAUAUUAGGAAGAACACCAGUGGCGAAGGCGGCUUUCUGGACUGUAACUGACGCUGAUGCACGAAAGCGUGGGGAGCAAACA